AUUGCUGAGGGAACCAUGAAUUUUACUUCUAUUGAGCCUUCUCGACCUCCUGUCACACAACCUUGUCAAGGUGCUGCUACACAGCCUUCUCAAGCUGCUUUCACACUUACACAACCUUCUCAAAUCGCUUUCACACAACCUUCUCUAGCUGCUUUCGCACGACCUUCUCGAACCGCUUUUAGACAUCCUUCUCUAGCCGCUUUCCCACAGCCUUCUCAAGCCGCUUUUGCACAGCCUUCUCAAACCAUUUUCACACAGCCUUCUGAAGCCACUUUCACACAGCCUUCUGAAGCCACUUUCACACAGCCUUCUGAAGCCACUUUCACACAGCCUUCUCAAGCCGCUUUCACACAACCUUCUCAAGCUAAUAUCUCACAAGCCAUUUGUGAUGAAGAUGAUGAGCUCAGAGUAUUGGAUCCACCAGCCCCUGCAUCAGUGAGCAAAAGGGCAAAAAAUGUUGGUACUGGUAAUUCAAGAACAAGAAUUAACAAGCGUACACAAGAUGGGAAUGUGGUUGAGAUGAUGGGAAGGUUUCUAGAAAUGAAAGAAAAACAAGCUGAGGCGGAUGAAAGGGCCACAACUAAUGCAAAUGAGGAUGAUUUCCCUAUUCAAACAUGCAUUGCUAUUGUGGAUGGAAUGGAAGAGUUUUCUGAUGAUGAGAAGGUUGAUUCUUAUGAUGUUUUUAAGGAUGCCCAAAACCGGGCCAUUUUCAUGACUGCCAAAGAUGCUACGCGCAUAAAAUGGUUGAGGAAGAAGAUUGCAAGAACAUGAUAUGGUAUUGAU
This 783-nucleotide long non-coding RNA is filed under the name Zea mays. Its description in RNAcentral is "long non-coding RNA (ZMAY_LNC001111)". Lineage: Eukaryota; Viridiplantae; Streptophyta; Magnoliopsida; Poales; Poaceae. The record is from RNAcentral.